Molecule: long non-coding RNA, 1954 nt
Organism: Episyrphus balteatus (marmalade hoverfly)
Lineage: Eukaryota; Metazoa; Arthropoda; Insecta; Diptera; Syrphidae
Exons: 4
Source: RefSeq, a predicted model, not a curated record
AAGCUUCCAUUCGAUUCGGAGUCAUUCGGACUUUUUGAUUCGAACUCCAUCUGUCAAAACCAAAACUCAGUGUAACAUGGAAUAAAAAAAAUUAACUUGAACAGAUGCGAAGCGUUGUUUUAUUUCUUUUAAUCAUACUUUUAUUUCUCCUUUAUAAAUUAAUUAAUUAGUUUGGAAACAAAAUAAAAUAAGUAAUAAAGAACCAAAGUCCUUAAAAAAAUCCCACAAUAACUUAUCAAAUCAAUUGAACAACCUGCGUUUUAUUUUUGUUUUUGUCCGAUUCGCAACUGCACAAAAAAUAACAUGUCGGCUUAUCCUUGAACAGGAAUUAGCAAGACGCUGCUCAAAGAUAAAUCCUAAGGAGAUAUAUUAUUCCGACGAAUACUACGAUGACGAGUUUGAGUAUCGGCACGUUGUCCUGCCCACAUGGAACUUGUAAACUUGUCCCAAAGACACUUCUCAUGUCGGAAAAUUAAUGACGAGCAACUGGUGUGUACCAGUCCCGUGGAUUGGUGCAUUAUUAUGCUACACAAACCAGGGCUUCCGUAGACCGAUCGAACCAAAAUAAAACAAUUCCAAUCCAACGCCAUUGAAUCUUCUGAGACAGUAAGUAUGUAAGGUCGCCAAAAAUCAAGAGUGGCGCUCUCCGAAUGCUAAACAAUCUUUACCCAACCCCACCGGCUAUCUCGAGAAAAAGAAGUGUCUAAUCUUUGGAUGGGGCUGUUUGAGUGGAAGACGACUCCCCCAUCGUCUUCGCAUUCCUGAACGGGUUUCCCGGAUGACACACUGGACAUUUGGGGAGAAAUUACUCCCUCUUUUCCACACCCGAAGCAGAACACCUUCCAAUUGGAAGACAAACAAUUUUUAAAUUUGUGGCCUAGCUGUUUGCAAUUCCAACAAUCCAAGGAUUUGGAAUCGCUUGGCCCACGAGAUGUGUUCGGUCUAGAUCCCGGAUGUCUAAACGCUGCCAAAUGCUCUGCCUGAUGAGAUCCACACUCAUCGUCAUCAAACUCUAGCUCAUUAGCCAUGUAACGACCCUGUGGUCGAUAGUUUUUCGAAGCUUCUUUUUCGACCCGAUCACUAUCUGAAAACGCAUAUUCGGCGUCCUUACACGCAGUCCGCAACUGAUCGAGAGUGAAUAAGGAUUGCGGGUAAACCAGCGCUCUUAACUUCUUAUUCAAGUUGCGCUUCAGGAUCUGUACCAGCUCAAUUUCCGGAAUCGGUACCCUGAGCUGAGACCUAAUUCUGUUUACGGCGGUGAAGUAUUGGUCACAUGUCUCAGCAGAGCCAUGCUUCCGAUCCAUCAUAUCCCUAACUAACUCAUAAUCGGAUCGCGAAUUUUUAUAUUGGCGCAUCAAGGCGUCACGGAGCUGUGGCCAAUCGGGACGGUAAAAUGUUCGCUGGAAUUGCCAAUACCACUCUUUCGCAGCACCGGAUAGUAGUAGACGGAAUUCCCUUAGAACCUCAGCCCAUGGGCAUGCAUAAUCGCUCUGGAGCAUCUCUACUUGGAAAACGAAUUCUUCUACCAAAUGAUGGUGUGAACUACCUGGUGGCGGUAGAUAGUACCCACCAUGAGGCUGUGGUAUACCUCCAGACCCUUCCUCGAAGUCAGGUUCGGACCUAGUGUCGCGGAAUGACCGUUGAUUGCCCCCUCUAGGAUUCCCUACCGGAACAAAAGGUCUAGAAGCAGGAUUUAAUUGUGUGGAAUUCGCAACUCCUGUAUUUGGCUGCGCUGCAGAGCUCAUUACCACAAAAACUUGCGAACACAAAUUAACUUUGCUCUCCAAUCAACACUAACAAUUCUAAAAACACCAAAAAGAAAUAUAAAAAAACUAUACUAUUUAAAAAACUAUGUAUUUACGUAUAUCAAAAAAAACUAUAAAUGAAAUCUGUAAAUAUUUUAAGAAAACUUACACCUAAGAACUAACCUAUGUAAAUUAUAUCUAAAAUUUUA